Peromyscus maniculatus bairdii (prairie deer mouse) is the source of this 458-nucleotide non-coding RNA. NCBI's taxonomy places the organism in Eukaryota, Metazoa, Chordata, Mammalia, Rodentia, Cricetidae. The record is from RefSeq and is a predicted model, not a curated record.
CCUUCUUGUCCCAGCCCUCCUUUCAUGAACCAGUGGGAGUGAGUGGCAACGACAAGCCAAUUCUGGCCUCUCUUGCCCUGCGUGACUUGGCUAGUGAUUUUCAGCAUGCAGCAGUGGUGAGGUUACGGUGUGCACCAUCAUUCCUGGGUUAUGAGGCACUAGGGACUGCACCCCGGAUUCUGUGCACACUAGGCGAGCACUCUCCCACCUGAACUGCCUCCUCCGUUGGGAUCUUCAUACUCCCCCAAAGCUCAGGACUAAAAUCCACCCUGCCAGGGGCUGAUGAGCUAGUUAGCAAGUAGAGGUACGGAGUCUCCAAGAAGGUGUUCCUUCCCGGGUCCUCAGACACCUGACUGAGGCUUUCCUUGGUGUGUCUCAUUUAUGGCUAGCUUCCCAAUAGAUCCUUUUUGUCCUUGCCAAAUAUGGAGGAAGCCAUUCAAAUGGGCACAAUUCUUCAU